UGAAUUACAUUAUUUCCAUUUUGACACACAGUUAAGUGUUUAAUAAAUGUUUGAAGGAAAGGGGAAAAGCAGAGUACCACAUAAAGAGAAAGAGUCUAAUAAGCCUACAGAGAAUAGUAAUUUUUUAAGGAUAAACAAAACAGCCAAGAGGGCUUGUGGAUCACAGGUAACUUUCAGAAACAAGACAUUCCACACUGAGGAAAUGAGAAGCCACCCAAAAGCAGAGAACUUGGGAGUAUCACAUAACUGGUUUUGAGAAAUAAAGGGAAGAAUAAAUUUCUCAAACACAAGUAGAUUUUUACUUAGAGGCCAGUCUUAGAAAACAUGGUUUUCACUUUGAGGAAAACACAGUCUUCAGUGUUGCAGGGAUAACACUGGAGACUAUAAAUUUAAUUGGCUGGUAAGACUAGUCUAGCUGUUGAUAUUUAAGGUAAAUUAACCCAGCAAGCUACAGUUAUGCCUCUUUUGGAAAAAUCGAAUAUUCUUCAAUCUCAGUAAACCGGAGCUGCAGCUUUUAAAAUUUAUCAACACCUAGUAUGAGCUUUAGUGCUGACAUUUAAAGCAAGAGAAGCAUUAUGUCAAAUAAUUCAGAGUGUAGGCUUUGGAAAGACCUGGAUUCCAGUCUCAGCACUACAGUACGGUCUGGGGUAAAUUACUUAGCAUCCAUAAUUCUGAGUUUCCUUAGCCUGUUAUUAUCAUGGUUAAGAGUAUAGGUACCAAUGUCAAGAUUCAAAUCCCAGCUGUCACUUACUAGCUAUGUCAUCUUAGGAAAGCUACUAAAUUCUCUAUGACUCAGUUUCCUUAAAUGGAGUUUGAGAGAGAGAAAAAUAGUACCUACCCCAUUGGAUUGUUGGUAUUCAUUCAUCCCUGAAUAAAUUUCAGCUGUGUCAGUUUUUGUGUCAGUAACCUCUAACUUCAAAUACUGAGUAUAUUUGCUAUCUUCCAGAAACUUAGAAUCUGGUUAUAAAGAUCAGGAUGGCACAUAUGAAAAUGAAAACAAUAUAGGAUAUAAGUAGGUGUUAAAGAAUGUGAUAAGACAAUAAAGGUUUAUUGAUUCAAUGAUUAUUAAACAUCCAGUGUGCACCAGGCAGGCACUAAGUACCGAGUACUAGAGGGUGAACUCUACAGGGUCCUUGUUCUCAAGAAGAUACUAGUAGGCAAAACAACAGUGAAAUAAAUGCUAUGGUAGAGAUUAGUACUGGGGGUGGUGGGAACUCACAGGAGGGGCAUAUGGCCUGGUUUUAAGAGGUUAGAAAAGGUUUAUCAGAAAAAGUAAAAUCUGAAUGGGGAAGGAGUUAGUGUUCUUGGUAGGUCAGACAAUGUGCAGAAGCCUAGAAAUGUAGCCUGUUACUGUGGCUAGUGGGGAAUUUAGGGUGGUGACUAAAAUGAGGCCCAAAACCAUGAAGCCAAAGAGGUGAACACUUGCUGACCAGGUUAUGGAGGUUCCUGAGUGUCAACUUUAUCCUGAAGGCAGUGAGGAGCCAGUAAAAGUUUUUUGUUUGUUUUUGUUUUUGUUUAGGAGCCACUAAAAGUUUUAAGCAAGAAAGUGACAUGUUUUAGCAAGAUCACUCAGGCUUCAGGGUAGAGAAUUAGAAGUCAAGACAGAAAGCUGGAAGACCGACAAGGAGACUGUUGGACUAAUAAAGUGGGCUGUGGCAGAAUGCAUCUUGCCAGACUCCAGCCAGCUGCAGACAUCAGGAAGAGGGUUAAAGAUGGCCAGACACUAGGGGCAAAUCCCCUCCUCUUCUCUCCAACCCCAAACCCCAAGUACCAAGGUAAGGAAGCUGAGACUCAGAAAGGUUCUGCACAAGAGAGGCAGUGUUUGAAUGUUGCCUCACAGAGGUAGUUCCACAAGGGUGUCCUGCUCACCACCAUGCCCCCAGGGUCUGAGGCUGAGCCUGGCACACAGCAGUGCAGACAACAAGGAGUGAGUAUCUGUUGAACAAAUGGGUGAAUGCCGGCAGCAGAGUCCUCAGUGGGAACAUCCACCUAUCAAUCCCAGUGUAGCUGCAGCUGGUGCAAUGAGGAGGAAGAGAGGUCUCCUGAGAUCCCACCUCUCCCCCAGGUGCCCUCCCUUUGCAUCCCAAGACCCCCACCCGCACCCUUAGCUGAAAAACUGGACUCAGGGGAGCAGGCAGAGUAACGUACUAACGUUUUUAAUACAGUCUGAUCAGAUCAAUUCACAGCACCAGGUCACCCUGGGCCUGCUCACGCGUGACACAGCCGAGGUACACAACAAUGUCCCCACCUGCCAGCUCUCCUGCCUUCCUGGCUACCAACAACACUGAAACCCGCUACUUCCCUGACCAGACUGGCAUUUUUAAAAUUUUGCAUAAAACUAUUUCUUCCAUAGACUUCAAACAAUCAACUAGCCAAGUUAAUUAUGGUACAUCUAAACAAAGUUUAAUACUAACCCUAACGUGUGACUGCGGUUUACAAAGAGCUCUGUAUCACCUGGGAUAGCUUUCAGUAGCAAUUCACUACAACUGGUCCUAAAAAAUAACAAUAAUAAUAAUAAUUAGAGAAUUAAAACCCAACAGCAAGUUGAAUGGUUAAAAUCACAUAAGAACUGGAAUUUGGGGUGGGGGUGUCCUCAAUAGCCCAGCUUGUCCUAGUAGCGAAAUGCUAGCCUCUAGGUAGGGCUCAGAAAGGUCUGAGGCCCUCCAAGUCAAGGGUUAAGCUCAGGGGCUCUCAGAGGGCACUCACCCCAUGGUCCAUGGGAUGCUGUAGGCUUCCAGCUUUCUUGAAAAUAGUUGGGCAUCAGCACUGUGUAAGUGGGUGGAGACCCUGAUGUGGUUUCUCUUAAGGGAUAUGAGAAGGGGGAGGGGACCCAAAUCACUGAGGUCCCUGAAUGCCAUCACGUGUGGGUUUGGGAUUGGGAUCACUAAGAAUUGAGCACCAGGAAUUCCAGCUUCCACCCAUUAGAGAAACCGGGACUGGUGUGGCCUUGGAGGCCUAUGUAGUGUUUUCUGCCCUUGUCCCAUACCAGGUCUUGCAGAUAUUUCUGCAGAGUAUCAGAUGAGAAUCUAUUUCUAAAGACCACUGAAGGGAUGGGUGGUGGAAAGGGAGCGGGUGGGGUGACAGGGUGGGGGGAAGGGGGAGUUAAAAACGAAUAAAAAUCUCUCAGCUACAGAACCCAAAGACAUUACUUCCCUCCGCAUUCACAGCAUUUCUCAGCGGUCCCCGGUGGCCAUUUCCGUGGGGACACAGCAUCUGCCUCACUUCCCCUCAGGCCCCAUGGGCUGCUGGUCAACCUCAGGAUCUACUAAAGAUGAUGCAAACGCUGACUGAACAAUCUGAAACCCAAAGGACUCGAGGAGAGACAUGUUCUGCUGGGGAGAAAAAGGUGAGCCGAGGGCAGGGCCCAGGUCCCCCAGGGGGCCCCCAAGCGCCCGGACAUGCACCUUCUGGAUGUGUUUGUUCAAGUAGGACUUGGAGCGGAAGAAGCUCCCGCAUUCAGGGCAGGGGUACUUCUUCUCCCCGUCAGACUCCAUUUUGUUUUUGGGGACUGCCAUGUCGCAGGAGAAGGAGCCAUUGGUGCUCUGUUUCUCAGGCGUCUUCAGGUCACUGGCGUCCGAGAGGUCACCGUAGGAGUCAGAGCUCUCAAUCGGAUCCUGAUGUGAGCAUUUCUGGCCUUCUAGGAGAAAACAAAACACACAGGAGAGAUGAGGCCAGGCUUUGGAGAUGCCCCCUCCUGGAGGGGUCGGGAAAGGCCAGCUCAUAGGCCUGUGGAGGGCAGCGGAUGGCCAGCCACUGCCCUGGCAGAACCCACGGAGGUUCAGCUGGUCAGUCUGGGAGCCUGGUGUGCCUAUGGGCGUGAGACAGCAGGGCCCUGGGGCUGCCAGCCUCCCUCGCCGCGGACUCUUCAUGCAGGUGCACGUGUAUCGCUCACCACCAUCUCAGCCUGCUUCAAGGAAGAGGGUACGGAGAAGGGGCCUCCACUGCUUCCACCCAGAACAACUCAAAGACCCCGUUCCUAGGCACUUUGCUGGCUGCCCCUGGGGGUAAGAUGGCUGUUCUGAUGAUGCUGAACAGGUAUAUCAAUGGCCUCACCUCCACACCAGACUAGCUGCACCCUAGCAAGGCAGAACCAAAGCCGUGAGGUCCUCAACCCGGCAGACCCCACUGAUGGCUGAGACAGAAGCCAAUCCUUUUCCCAAUGCUGCAAACACAAGCCCUGCCCUUAUUGCCUUCCUUCUGCCAAAACCCAUCCAGGGCCCAGCGGCCAAAGCAUAGAGAUUAAAAAGUAACUUUGAACAACUCGGUCAGCUGACUGUCCCCACACAGGGCUCAGGACAAGCUGGGCCUCAAGACAAUCCUCAUUGCUCUGCCUUGCCCUGCCCACACUGCAGUCCACCAAUCAGAAGCUUCCUGCCUGAGUUCAGAGAGCCAUGCCGGGAAGGGAGGUCUGUGAUGGGAGCGUGGAGCAUGCCAUCUCUGCCAUCUCUGCCGUCUGCCAAGCCCCUGGCAUCAUCCCCAAGGCAACAACUAGAAAUACCACAGAACAACCUGAAUCAACACGUGAAGGUGGGCCCUAGGGAGCUCUCUGCAGACCAACUCCAAGUCAGAGGCAGUCACAUAUCUCAUUUAUCGCCAUGCAUUUCACAAACGCAGCCAGAGGCCCGCCAGAAAGGACCGCUCACAGCAACCAAUCACCCCUAUCAAGGAGGAAGCCAGCCCUUGGCUCCCCCUUGCCCACAGGGUCAAAGAAAAAGAAA
Molecule: long non-coding RNA, 4718 nt
Organism: Acinonyx jubatus (cheetah)
Lineage: Eukaryota; Metazoa; Chordata; Mammalia; Carnivora; Felidae
Exons: 4
Source: RefSeq, a predicted model, not a curated record